RNAcentral lists this ribosomal RNA (494 nucleotides) under uncultured bacterium. Its description in RNAcentral is "partial 16S ribosomal RNA". It matches the Rfam family "Bacterial small subunit ribosomal RNA", at positions 28 to 507 of the family's 1533-position model. The record is from RNAcentral.
GACGAACGCUGGCGGCGCGCUUAACACAUGCAAGUCGAACGGAAAGGCCUGCUUUCCCUUGUGGAUUGCGGGUACUCGAGUGGCGAACGGGUGAGUAACACGUGAGUGAUCUGCCCCCAACUUGGGUAUAAGCCUGGGAAACUGGGUCUAAUUCCCGAUAGGACUGCAGGGUGGUGCCUGUGGUGGAAAACGAUUUUCUAGUGGUUGGGGAUGAGCUCGCGGCCUAUCAGCUUGUUGGUGGGGUAAUGGCCUACCAAGGCGGCGACGGGUAGCCGGCCUGAGAGGGUGGACGGGCACAUUGGGACUGGGAUACGGCCCAGACUCCUACGGGAGGCAGCAGUGGGGAAUAUUACACAAUGGGCGGAAGCCUGAUGCAGCGACGCCGCGUGGGGGAUGACGGCCUUCGGGUUGUAAACUCCUUUCGACCGCGAGGAAGCCACCUGGUUGGAAGGGUGGUGACGGUAGUGGUAGAAGAAGCACCGGCUAACUACGUG